CAGGGCUCAGAUUGAACGCUGGCGGCAGGCCUAACACAUGCAAGUCGAACGGUAACAUGAAGAAGCGUUCUUCUUUGCUGAAGAGUGGCGUACGGGUGAGUAAUGUCUGGGAAACUGCCUGAUGGAGGGGGAUAACUACUGGAAACGGUAGCUAAUACCGCAUAACGUCGCAAGACCAAAGAGGGGGACCUUCGGGCCUCUUGCCAUCGGAUGUGCCCAGAUGGGAUUAGCUAGUAGGUGGGGUAACGGCUCACCUAGGCGACGAUCCCUAGCUGGUCUGAGAGGAUGACCAGCCACACUGGAACUGAGACACGGUCCAGACUCCUACGGGAGGCAGCAGUGGGGAAUAUUGCACAAUGGGCGCAAGCCUGAUGCAGCCAUGCCGCGUGUAUGAAGAAGGCCUUCGGGUUGUAAAGUACUUUCAGCGGGGAGGAAGGGAGUAAAGUUAAUACCUUUGCUCAUUGACGUUACCCGCAGAAGAAGCACCGGCUAACUCCGUGCCAGCAGCCGCGGUAAUACGGAGGGUGCAAGCGUUAAUCGGAAUUACUGGGCGUAAAGCGCACGCAGGCGGUUUGUUAAGUCAGAUGUGAAAUCCCCGGGCUCAACCUGGGAACUGCAUCUGAUACUGGCAAGCUUGAGUCUCGUAGAGGGGGGUAGAAUUCCAGGUGUAGCGGUGAAAUGCGUAGAGAUCUGGAGGAAUACCGGUGGCGAAGGCGGCCCCCUGGACGAAGACUGACGCUCAGGUGCGAAAGCGUGGGGAGCAAACAGGAUUAGAUACCCUGGUAGUCCACGCCGUAAACGAUGUCGACUUGGAGGUUGUGCCCUUGAGGCGUGGCUUCCGGAGCUAACGCGUUAAGUCGACCGCCUGGGGAGUACGGCCGCAAGGUUAAAACUCAAAUGAAUUGACGGGGGCCCGCACAAGCGGUGGAGCAUGUGGUUUAAUUCGAUGCAACGCGAAGAACCUUACCUGGUCUUGACAUCCACGGAAGUUUUCAGAGAUGAGAAUGUGCCUUCGGGAACCGUGAGACAGGUGCUGCAUGGCUGUCGUCAGCUCGUGUUGUGAAAUGUUGGGUUAAGUCCCGCAACGAGCGCAACCCUUAUCCUUUGUUGCCAGCGGUCCGGCCGGGAACUCAAAGGAGACUGCCAGUGAUAAACUGGAGGAAGGUGGGGAUGACGUCAAGUCAUCAUGGCCCUUACGACCAGGGCUACACACGUGCUACAAUGGCGCAUACAAAGAGAAGCGACCUCGCGAGAGCAAGCGGACCUCAUAAAGUGCGUCGUAGUCCGGAUUGGAGUCUGCAACUCGACUCCAUGAAGUCGGAAUCGCUAGUAAUCGUGGAUCAGAAUGCCACGGUGAAUACGUUCCCGGGCCUUGUACACACCGCCCGUCACACCAUGGGAGUGGGUUGCAAAAGAAGUAGGUAGCUUAACCUUCGGGAGGGCGCUUACCACUUUGUGAUUCAUGACUGGGGUGAAGUCGUAACAAGGUAACCGUAGGGGAACCUGCGGUUGGAUCACCUCCUUACCUUAAAGAA
RNAcentral lists this ribosomal RNA (1535 nucleotides) under Escherichia coli. Its description in RNAcentral is "bacterial SSU rRNA". It matches the Rfam family "Bacterial small subunit ribosomal RNA". Lineage: Bacteria; Pseudomonadati; Pseudomonadota; Gammaproteobacteria; Enterobacterales; Enterobacteriaceae. The record is from RNAcentral.